CAGUCGCCGCGGUAAUACAGAGGGUGCGAGCGUUAAUCGGAUUUACUGGGCGUAAAGCGUGCGUAGGCGGCUUUUUAAGUCGGAUGUGAAAUCCCUGAGCUUAACUUAGGAAUUGCAUUCGAUACUGGGAAGCUAGAGUAUGGGAGAGGAUGGUAGAAUUCCAGGUGUAGCGGUGAAAUGCGUAGAGAUCUGGAGGAAUACCGAUGGCGAAGGCAGCCAUCUGGCCUAAUACUGACGCUGAGGCGCGAAAGCUAGGGGAGCAAACAGGAUUAGAUACCCGAGUAGUCCCUGUCUCUUAUAC
Molecule: ribosomal RNA, 301 nt
Filed under: uncultured bacterium
Lineage: Bacteria
Description: partial 16S ribosomal RNA
Rfam family: Bacterial small subunit ribosomal RNA
Source: RNAcentral